Molecule: ribosomal RNA, 253 nt
Filed under: uncultured bacterium
Lineage: Bacteria
Description: partial 16S ribosomal RNA
Rfam family: Bacterial small subunit ribosomal RNA
Source: RNAcentral
UACGAAGGGGGCUAGCGUUGCUCGGAAUCACUGGGCGUAAAGCGCACGUAGGCGGAUAUUUAAGUCAGGGGUGAAAUCCCAGAGCUCAACUCUGGAACUGCCUUUGAUACUGGGUAUCUUGAGUAUGGAAGAGGUAAGUGGAAUUGCGAGUGUAGAGGUGAAAUUCGUAGAUAUUCGCAGGAACACCAGUGGCGAAGGCGGCUUACUGGUCCAUUACUGACGCUGAGGUGCGAAAGCGUGGGGAGCAAACAGG